RNAcentral lists this ribosomal RNA (433 nucleotides) under uncultured bacterium. RNAcentral describes it as "partial 16S ribosomal RNA". It matches the Rfam family "Bacterial small subunit ribosomal RNA", at positions 29 to 507 of the family's 1533-position model. The record is from RNAcentral.
AACGAACGCUGGCGGCAGGCUUAACACAUGCAAGUCGAGCGCAUCCUUCGGGGUGAGCGGCGGACGGGUGAGUAACGCGUGGGAACGUGCCCUCUUCUACGGAAUAGCCUCGGGAAACUGAGAGUAAUGCCGUAUACGCCCGCAAGGGGAAAGAUUUAUCGGAAGAGGAUCGGCCCGCGUUGGAUUAGGUAGUUGGUGGGGUAACGGCCUACCAAGCCGACGAUCCAUAGCUGGUUUGAGAGGAUGAUCAGCCACACUGGGACUGAGACACGGCCCAGACUCCUACGGGAGGCAGCAGUGGGGAAUCUUGGACAAUGGGGGCAACCCUGAUCCAGCCAUGCCGCGUGAUCGAUGAAGGCCUUAGGGUUGUAAAGAUCUUUCAGCUGGGAAGAUAAUGACGGUACCAGCAGAAGAAGCCCCGGCUAACUCCGUG